This 400-nucleotide ribosomal RNA is filed under the name uncultured Polaribacter sp. Its description in RNAcentral is "bacterial SSU rRNA". It matches the Rfam family "Bacterial small subunit ribosomal RNA", at positions 78 to 476 of the family's 1533-position model. The record is from RNAcentral. Lineage: Bacteria; Pseudomonadati; Bacteroidota; Flavobacteriia; Flavobacteriales; Flavobacteriaceae.
GCUUGCACAGAUGACGACCGGCGCACGGGUGCGUAACGCGUAUAGAACCUACCUUUUACAGAGGAAUAGCCUUUAGAAAUGAAGAUUAAUGCCUCAUAGUAUUGUAGACUGGCAUCAGUUUAUAAUUAAAGAUUUAUCGGUAAAAGAUGGCUAUGCGUCCUAUUAGUUAGUUGGUAAGGUAACGGCUUACCAAGACAGCGAUAGGUAGGGGUCCUGAGAGGGAGAUCCCCCACACUGGUACUGAGACACGGACCAGACUCCUACGGGAGGCAGCAGUGAGGAAUAUUGGACAAUGGAGGAGACUCUGAUCCAGCCAUGCCGCGUGUAGGAAGAAUGCCCUAUGGGUUGUAAACUACUUUUAUACAGGAAGAAACACUGGUAUGUAUACCAGCUUGACGGU